UCGGGAAUAUUGCGCAAUGGAGGAAACUCUGACGCAGUGACGCCGCGUAUAGGAAGAAGGUUUUCGGAUUGUAAACUACUGUCGUUAGGGAAGAUAAAAGACUGUACCUAAGGAGGAAGCCCCGGCUAACUAUGUGCCAGCAGCCGCGGUAAUACAUAGGGGGCAAGCGUUAUCCGGAAUUAUUGGGUGUAAAGGGUGCGUAGACGGAAGAACAAGUUGGUUGUGAAAUCCUUCGGCUCAACUGAGGAACUGCAACCAAAACUAUUCUCCUUGAGUGUCGGAGAGGAAAGUGGAAUUCCUAGUGUAGCGGUGAAAUGCGUAGAUAUUAGGAGGAACACCAGUGGCGAAGGCGACUUUCUGGACGAUAACUGACGUUGAGGCACGAAAGUGUGGGGAGCAAACAGGAUUAGAUACC
This 415-nucleotide ribosomal RNA is filed under the name uncultured bacterium. RNAcentral's name for it is "bacterial SSU rRNA". It matches the Rfam family "Bacterial small subunit ribosomal RNA", at positions 355 to 786 of the family's 1533-position model. The record is from RNAcentral.